CCCUGCCCCGUCCCUCACUCCCCCAGCCCUUGCCUGUGGCUCUGCAGCAGCUCGUGGGAGCCCGAACACGGGGACAGUGCAGCCCUGGCCGCAGCAGCACAACACAGCAACCCUAAGAGCGAGAGCAGACCUGAACCUCCUGCUGGGACAGGGCAGCAACCCUCACAGCAGGACAAGGACAGAACCUGCAGAGGACAACAAGACCCACUGCAAAAAGGAAGGGAAGACAUCUGAAGAACAGAUGGUGACUCUGUGCCAGUGCAUCUGCCAGACUCUGCUGUGACAUGAGCCCCACUGGAGGUGUUAUGGACACAGUGUGCUCUGGCUCCCUUCUGCUCGGAACACCCUGAACCUUCGCAGCAGAUGAGGAAGACAGGGACUCAAAGAUUCUUCUUCCCUAAUGGACCCCAAGAAGAAAAGCACAGAGCUGGUAUGAGGGCUGGCUGCCCAGAAGGUAGCCCUGGCUUUGGGAAGUAAGAUCAUGGGGUUGUGUCAGUAGGGUUGGCUCACAGAGAUGGCUCUGGCUUAGCAAAGCCCGAUGCAGUGAAGCCCUGCUUCCCUUCUGGUAAGGAGCAAGAAUAGCUGGGGGAGGGUGAUGGGCCAGAGUGGGAGCUAGAGUGUUCUGAAAGCUUUGCUGGGCGUUGGCAAAUGCUCUGGGACUUUGAGGGCCUAAGUAUAUUAAUCUAUUUAAAUAUCUUUUGCCCAGUAUCCUAAGCAGUGGCUGGGCAGUCUCUGAGUCUGUGAACACUAAUCAAACCCAAAAAUGAAUCUUCAUCUCAUUAUCUUUUUAUUGGUUGGUUUUUUAGUUGAACUAAUUAAAGGCAAGACCUGAGUUAACAUCUCAGGUUUUUUCAGGUUAAAAUCUGUUUUUUUCAGGUUAGCUGUAGUUUAAAUUAAUGCCAGGGUUUGAUACUGCUUAUAAUAGCAGUGAAGCAAUUGUAUUUUAUGGUAAAUAUAAAUCUCCUUAUUUUACAGAAGUUAAUGUAAUAAUAAUAGUUUUAAGGCUCUCUUAUUACCAGCUGUAAGUCUAAUUUUCUAACAAGAUGCUGCUAAUUGCAUUACUCUGGCUUCAGCAGUUUUCUUUGUGUCAGAGCCCCUUAGAGAGGCAGUAGAUUCUCAGCCAGACUCUUGUUUUGGUCCUGUAAAAUGUAGUUGUGUUGUAACAGUGCCUUCUUCUUAAUAAUUUUUAUCUGCUUUAUUAAUUUAUUGUGGUCGAGGUUUUGCUACAUCAAUUGCUUUUGCAUUGCUGACAGUCUAACUGCAUGUAGUUCAAACAGAUCAGUAUCCACAAACUCAAAUUAUUGUAAUUACAUUGGUCUCAUUUCAGUGAGUACAGCAUUUACCACCUCACCAGCCUGUAGAACUUUGAUUGUAUUAGAAUUCUCAAAACAUUACAUGACUUGAAAAUUAAUUUGGAAAUCUAUCCCCAAGAGUCUCUUUCAUACUCUGCUUCUGUGAAAAAUAAAUGGAAAAGGGCAGCAUUGGUGUUCAGGGGCCCGUGGCCCUCAGAUGCUGCCUGGAGUGAGUGCACUGCCCUCAUUGCACAACAAGCUCCGAUGGGAAAUCCAGAUCUCCCUGGCUCUUGGAAAUCAUCACGAACUGACCUGAAGGUGGCACUUUUGGACUGUGCUUGGAAGUGGAAGAAGAGCAGCUGAGACCUGCUGAGGAGGAAUCCUGCUUUUGGCAUCAGGCCCCUGACUGUGAAGAAGGGUCUGCCAGCUGCUGGCUCUCUCUCUCUCUCUCGAUUUUGGAGGAGGAUGGUUGGAGCUGCUGCCUGGGGAAGGGAAUUCACUGCCAUGGCCAUAGCCCAGCCCAGAGCUGCUUCUUCUGCUUCUCCCUCAGUUCAUCAAUCAGCCAGGCCUUGCCACUGCACACUCAGCUGCAGAUCCUCAUAUGUGGCAUUGGCCCAGCUGUGACCCAGAGUCAGCUGGAUUUUACCCCAAAAGAGCCAGGCAUUGGAUUCAAGCCCUGGGAAUGAUUUGUUUAAUUCAGGGCCAGCCUGAGAGCUCCCCCAAAAGCCUUUGGUGUAUUUAUGUGAAGUUGCCCAAGUUCUGCUCCCCUAGUGCUUGCUUGUUUCCCCCCUAUGGUUACAGUUCUAGAAUGUUCCACCCCUGAGUGUGUAUAUUGUUGUUUCCCCUUUGUUUGGGGUCUUUGGAUCCUGCCCCUCCUAUUAUGCAGGCUUCUCCACGUUUGUUGUUUCUCACCCUUUAAUAAAGUUCUUUCUGGGCAGCUCCAUCAAAGCCACUCCUUUUCAUUUUCACCACCCUCGCCUGAGGUCAGGGAACCAGAGAGGUUUGUCACAGCCACCCUCACUGUGACACUUACAGAAAAGCCUUUAAAAAUAUUCACACACCUUAAACGCAAGUCUGUCAAUAACAGCAGCUGUGAGAUCCCAAACACAGCAAACUGCUGGAGUGCUCCUGGGAGAAUACCUGGGGCAGUGUCUGAUUCCCUCAGAGCAGGAGCAGCCCUGCCCUCAGCAGCUCACAGCCCUGCCCCACAAGGAUGUGUCACAGAAGGGUUGGUAAAGACCACAGGAGCCUCAGCUCAGGUGAGGCUUUCCACAGAGCCCAGAGAUCUUAUCCUGGAACUCUGAAAGCACAGGAGAAUCAGGAGCCAGCCCUGGCUCAAGGCACAGCAACCCUGCUGAAACAAGAGAAGGGAGCAAAGGCUGAGGAGGCAGUGCAGGAACGGCUGCAGAGCCUGUUCAAAGAGAGGCAUCUGCAGCUGCAGA
This is a long non-coding RNA of Passer domesticus (house sparrow), 2734 nucleotides long. RefSeq lists it as uncharacterized. The transcript is spliced from 3 exons. Lineage: Eukaryota; Metazoa; Chordata; Aves; Passeriformes; Passeridae. The record is from RefSeq and is a predicted model, not a curated record.